Molecule: unclassified non-coding RNA, 169 nt
Filed under: uncultured fungus
Lineage: Eukaryota; Fungi
Description: sequence contains ITS1
Source: RNAcentral
GUGAAUAAACUGCACUCGACUCUGUCGGUGCAACACUUAUCCAAACACCUUUCUACGGCCUGGUUCGCCAGGACGGACGGUUGGAUUGGGUUCUACUCAAUCUGACCAUUAUUUAUAAACUCGUAUGAAUAAUGAAUGAAAAACUACUGUCUUCGGACAAAAUAAAAUA